RNAcentral lists this ribosomal RNA (539 nucleotides) under uncultured bacterium. RNAcentral describes it as "partial 16S ribosomal RNA". It matches the Rfam family "Bacterial small subunit ribosomal RNA", at positions 355 to 887 of the family's 1533-position model. The record is from RNAcentral.
UGGGGAAUUUUGGACAAUGGGGGAAACCCUGAUCCAGCCAUCCCGCGUGUGCGAUGAAGGCCUUCGGGUUGUAAAGCACUUUUGGCAGGAAAGAAACGUCGCGGGUUAAUACCCCGCGAAACUGACGGUACCUGCAGAAUAAGCACCGGCUAGCUACGUGCCAGCAGCCGCGGUAAUACGUAGGGUGCAAGCGUUAAUCGGAAUUACUGGGCGUAAAGCGUGCGCAGGCGGUUCGGAAAGAAAGAUGUGAAAUCCCAGAGCUUAACUUUGGAACUGCAUUUUUAACUACCGGGCUAGAGUGUGUCAGAGGGAGGUGGAAUUCCGCGUGUAGCAGUGAAAUGCGUAGAUAUGCGGAGGAACACCGAUGGCGAAGGCAGCCUCCUGGGAUAACACUGACGCUCAUGCACGAAAGCGUGGGGAGCAAACAGGAUUAGAUACCCUGGUAGUCCACGCCCUAAACGAUGUCAACUAGCUGUUGGGGCCUUCGGGCCUUGGUAGCGCAGCUAACGCGUGAAGUUGACCGCCUGGGGAGUACGGUC